UUGAACUGAAGAGUUUGAUCCUGGCUCAGAUUGAACGCUGGCGGCAUGCCUAACACAUGCAAGUCGAGCGGCAGCAGCACCCUUCUUCGGAAGGGUGGCUGGCGAGCGGCGGACGGGUGAGUAACGCGUAGGAACCUACCCUCCGGUGGGGGACAACCCGGGGAAACCCGGGCUAAUACCGCAUACGCCCUACGGGGGAAAGCGGGGGACCUCUUCGGAGGCCUCGCGCCGGAGGAUGGGCCUGCGUCCUAUCAGCUAGUUGGUGAGGUAACGGCUCACCAAGGCGACGACGGGUAGCUGGUCUGAGAGGACGAUCAGCCACACUGGGACUGAGACACGGCCCAGACUCCUACGGGAGGCAGCAGUGGGGAAUAUUGGACAAUGGGCGAAAGCCUGAUCCAGCAAUGCCGCGUG
Molecule: ribosomal RNA, 414 nt
Filed under: Chromatiales bacterium
Lineage: Bacteria; Pseudomonadati; Pseudomonadota; Gammaproteobacteria; Chromatiales
Description: bacterial SSU rRNA
Rfam family: Bacterial small subunit ribosomal RNA
Source: RNAcentral